UAGAAGUCAAUUCAGCUUUACGCUUCGCUGUUGCAAGUGGUAUCACUAAAGUUACAGAUCUUUACAAACAUGCUGUUAAAUUUAUAAUAGAGAAAUGGAACAAAGUCUAGGGAGACGAGCCAUCAAUGUACAAAAGAAGCAUUGAAAAUGAAGCCAAAUACAGACUUGUUCGAACUAUUGAUAUGCUUGUGGAUGUAAUCACAAAAGAUUUUU
Long non-coding RNA from Hydra vulgaris (swiftwater hydra), 213 nucleotides. RefSeq lists it as uncharacterized. The record is from RefSeq and is a predicted model, not a curated record. NCBI's taxonomy places the organism in Eukaryota, Metazoa, Cnidaria, Hydrozoa, Anthoathecata, Hydridae.